GGUUAAGUUAACAAGGGCGCAUGGUGAAUGCCUUGGCACUAGGAGCCGAUGAAGGACGGGACUAACACCGAUAUGCUUCGGGGAGCUGUACGUAAGCUAUGAUCCGGAGAUUUCCGAAUGGGGCAACCCAGCAGUUUUAAUCAACUGUUACCACUAGAUGAAUUCAUAGUCUAGUUGGAGGUAAACGCUGUGAACUGAAACAUCUCAUUAGCAGCAGGAAUAUAAAGAAAUUUCGAUUCCCUAAGUAGCGGCGAGCGAACGGGGAACAGCCCAAACCAAAGUGCUUGCACUUUGGGGUUGUAGGACUGAACAUUUGAGUUACCAAAGAACUUGAUAGUCGAAGGAUUUGGGAAAAUCCGCCAUAGAUGGUGAUAGCCCAGUAGAUUAAAUCAAAUUCUCUCAGUUCAGGAUCCUGAGUACGGCGGAACACGUGAAAUUCCGUCGGAAUCCGGGAGGACCAUCUCCCAAGGCUAAAUACUACCUAGUGACCGAUAGUGAACCAGUACCGUGAGGGAAAGGUGAAAAGCACCCCGGGAGGGGAGUGAAAUAGUUCCUGAAACCAUGUGCCUACAAUAAGUCAGAGCGCGUUAAUGCGUGAUGGCGUGCCUUUUGUAGAAUGAACCGGCGAGUUAUGAUCCCGUGCAAGGUUAAGACUAAAAAGUCGGAGCCGUAGCGAAAGCGAGUCUGAAAUGGGCGUUUUGAGUACGAGGUUAUAGACCCGAAACCAGGUGACCUAUCCAUGUCCAGGUUGAAGGUGCGGUAAAACGCACUGGAGGACCGAACCCGUGUAAGUUGAAAAUUGCUGGGAUGAGGUGUGGAUAGCAGUGAAAUUCCAAACGAACUUGGAGAUAGCUGGUUCUCUCCGAAAUAGCUUUAGGGCUAGCCUCGGAAUUAGGAUCAUGGAGGUAGAGCACUAUUUGGACUAGGGGCCCGUCUUGGGUUACUGAAUUCAGAUAAACUCCGAAUGCCAUUGAUUCAUAUCCGGGAGUCAGACGAUGAGUGAUAAGAUCCACCGUCGAAAGGGGAACAGCCCAGACCAUCAGUUAAGGUCCCUAAAUGUAUGCUAAGUGGAAAAGGAUGUGGAGUUGCAUAGACAACUAGGAUGUUGGCUCAGAAGCAGCCACCAUUUAAAGAGUGCGUAAUAGCUCACUAGUCGAGUGAUCCUGCGCCGAAAAUGUACCGGGGCUAAGCAUACUACCGAAACCAUGGAUGCGACCAUUAGGUCGCGUGAUAGGAGAGCGUUCUAAGGGCGGUGAAGCAAGAUCGUGAGGACUUGUGGAGCGCUUAGAAGUGAGAAUGCCGGUAUGAGUAGCGAAAGAUAGGUGAGAAUCCUAUCCACCGAAUGACUAAGGUUUCCUGGGGAAGGCUCGUCCUCCCAGGGUUAGUCGGGACCUAAGUCGAGGCCGAGAGGCGUAGACGAUGGAUAACAGGUUGAGAUUCCUGUACUAGUUAAGUACGUUUGAGCAAUGGAGGGACGCAGGAGGCUAAGAUGUGCAUUCUGUUGGAUUAGAAUGUCCAAGCAGUAAGUCUUGUGAAGAGUCAAAUGCUUUUCACUUUAAGGACAAGCUGUGAUGGGGAGCGAAAUUUAGUAGCGAAGCGUCUGAUGUCACACUGCCGAGAAAAGCUUCUAGUGAGUACUUAACUACCCGUACCGCAAACCGACACAGGUAGUCGAGGAGAGAAUCCUAAGGUGAGCGAGUGAACUCUCGUUAAGGAACUCGGCAAAAUGACCCCGUAACUUCGGGAGAAGGGGUGCUGAUCGCAAGAUCAGCCGCAGUGAAUAGGCCCAGGCGACUGUUUAUCAAAAACACAGGUCUCUGCAAAAUCGUAAGAUGACGUAUAGGGGCUGACGCCUGCCCGGUGCUGGAAGGUUAAAAGGAUGGGUUAGCUUCGGCGAAGCUCAGAAUUGAAGCCCCAGUAAACGGCGGCCGUAACUAUAACGGUCCUAAGGUAGCGAAAUUCCUUGUCGGGUAAGUUCCGACCCGCACGAAAGGCGUAACGAUCUGGGCACUGUCUCAACGAGAGACUCGGUGAAAUUAUAUUGUCCGUGAAGAUGCGGACUACCCGCGACAGGACGGAAAGACCCCAUGGAGCUUUACUGUAGCUUGAUAUUGAGUGUUUGUACAGCUUGUACAGGAUAGGUAGGAGCCAUAGAAACCGGAACGCUAGUUUCGGUGGAGGCGUUGGUGGGAUACUACCCUCGCUGUAUGACCACUCUAACCCGCACCACUAAUCGUGGUGGGAGACAGUGUCAGGUGGGCAGUUUGACUGGGGCGGUCGCCUCCUAAAAAGUAACGGAGGCGCCCAAAGGUUCCCUCAGAAUGGUUGGAAAUCAUUCGCAGAGUGUAAAGGCACAAGGGAGCUUGACUGCGAGACAGACAGGUCGAGCAGGGACGAAAGUCGGGCUUAGUGAUCCGGUGGUACCGUAUGGAAGGGCCAUCGCUCAACGGAUAAAAGCUACCCUGGGGAUAACAGGCUUAUCUCCCCCAAGAGUCCACAUCGACGGGGAGGUUUGGCACCUCGAUGUCGGCUCAUCGCAUCCUGGGGCUGUAGUCGGUCCCAAGGGUUGGGCUGUUCGCCCAUUAAAGCGGUACGCGAGCUGGGUUCAGAACGUCGUGAGACAGUUCGGUCCCUAUCCGUCGCGGGCGUAGGAAAUUUGAGAGGACCUGUCCUUAGUACGAGAGGACCGGGAUGGACAUACCUCUGGUGUACCAGUUGUGCCGCCAGGCGCAUCGCUGGGUAGCUACGUAUGGAUGUGAUAAACGCUGAAAGCAUCUAAGUGUGAAACACACCUCGAGAUGAGAUUUCCCAUUCCUUUAUGGAAGUAAGACCCCUGAAAGAUGAUCAGGUAGAUAGGUUAGAAGUGGCAGUGCGGUGACGCAUGAAGCGGACUAAUACUAAUCGGUCGAGGACUUAACCAA
Molecule: ribosomal RNA, 2921 nt
Filed under: Lactiplantibacillus plantarum
Lineage: Bacteria; Bacillati; Bacillota; Bacilli; Lactobacillales; Lactobacillaceae
Description: 23S ribosomal RNA
Rfam family: Bacterial large subunit ribosomal RNA
Source: RNAcentral